UAAAUAAUUUGUUUGUUUUUUUUUUUGUUUUUUUUUUUUAUCAUUUUAAACAAUAUACUUUCCAGUAUUCAAGAAAUUGUUUUGUACACUACUUUGUAAUGUUUUUCACUGAAAACGUAACAUUAAGGUGUAUUUUCCGGAAUUGGCCGAGUAUUACCGGAAUGCCAUGUGAUAACGUUACGGAAAGGCAUGUGAUAACAAUCGAAGCAUGUGAUAAACUUUUCAUAUCAGCCCGCUAAGCACCAAUUCGAAAAAUAUGAAAUUUACG
RNAcentral lists this long non-coding RNA (268 nucleotides) under Mytilus galloprovincialis (Mediterranean mussel). Lineage: Eukaryota; Metazoa; Mollusca; Bivalvia; Mytilida; Mytilidae. The record is from RNAcentral.